Molecule: ribosomal RNA, 777 nt
Filed under: uncultured bacterium
Lineage: Bacteria
Description: bacterial SSU rRNA
Rfam family: Bacterial small subunit ribosomal RNA
Source: RNAcentral
AAGUCGAACGAAGUAGCAAUACUUAGUGGCAAACGGGUGAGUAUGAUGUGGGUAUCUGCCCUUUGGUAUGGAAUAACACGAGGAAACUUGUGCUAAUACUGUAUAAGCCUUCACAGGGAAAGCUUUAUGCGCCAAAGGAUGAGCCCGCACUUGAUUAGCUAGUUGGUAAGGUAAAAGCUUACCAAGGCAACGAUCAAUAGCUGAUCUGAGAGGAUGAUCAGCCACAUUGGGACUGAGACACGGCCCAAACUCCUACGGGAGGCAGCAGUGGGGAAUCUUGCACAAUGGGGGAAACCCUGAUGCAGCGAUGCCGCGUGAGUGAAGAAGGCCUUUGGGUUGUAAAGCUCUUUCGUCGGGGAAGAAAAUGACUGUACCCGAAUAAGAAGGUCCGGCUAACUUCGUGCCAGCAGCCGCGGUAAUACGAAGGGACCUAGCGUAGUUCGGAAUUACUGGGCUUAAAGAGCUCGUAGGUGGUUAGAAAAGUUAGUGGUGAAAUCCCAAGGCUUAACCUUGGAACUGCCACUAAAACUUUUUAACUAGAGUGUGAUAGAGGUAAGCGGAAUUUCUAGUGUAGAGGUGAAAUUCGUAGAUAUUAGAAAGAACACCAAUUGCGAAGGCAGCUUUCUGGAUCAUUACUGACACUGAGGAGCGAAAGCAUGGGUAGCGAAGAGGAUUAGAUACCCUCGUAGUCCAUGCCGUAAACGAUGUGUGCUAGACGUUGGAAAUUUAUUUUUCAGUGUCGCAGCAAAAGCGUUAAGCACACCGCCUGGGGAGUAC